AACGCCAAGGUGUCCGCCUUCGGGGCGGGUGAAAAGGGAAUCCGGUGUGAAUCCGGAACGAUGCAGUCACUGUGUACGGGAGCGACGCUGCAAGCCACUGGGCAACCGGGAAGGGCAGCGCAGCAAGGAACGAAGUCAGGAGACCUGCCUUGGCGU
Molecule: non-coding RNA, 156 nt
Filed under: human gut metagenome
Source: RNAcentral